RNAcentral lists this ribosomal RNA (465 nucleotides) under Vreelandella stevensii. Its description in RNAcentral is "partial 16S ribosomal RNA". It matches the Rfam family "Bacterial small subunit ribosomal RNA", at positions 338 to 795 of the family's 1533-position model. Lineage: Bacteria; Pseudomonadati; Pseudomonadota; Gammaproteobacteria; Oceanospirillales; Halomonadaceae. The record is from RNAcentral.
CCUACGGGUGGCUGCAGUGGGGAAUAUUGGACAAUGGGGGGAACCCUGAUCCAGCCAUGCCGCGUGUGUGAAGAAGGCCCUCGGGUUGUAAAGCACUUUCAGUGAGGAAGAACGCCUGGUGGUUAAUACCCAUCAGGAAAGACAUCACUCACAGAAGAAGCACCGGCUAACUCCGUGCCAGCAGCCGCGGUAAUACGGAGGGUGCGAGCGUUAAUCGGAAUUACUGGGCGUAAAGCGCGCGUAGGUGGCUUGAUAAGCCGGUUGUGAAAGCCCCGGGCUCAACCUGGGAACGGCAUCCGGAACUGUCAAGCUAGAGUGCAGGAGAGGAAGGUAGAAUUCCCGGUGUAGCGGUGAAAUGCGUAGAGAUCGGGAGGAAUACCAGUGGCGAAGGCGGCCUUCUGGACUAACACUGACACUGAGGUGCGAAAGCGUGGGUAGCAAACAGGAUUAGAUACCCUAGUAGUC